GAUGAACGCUGGCGGCGUGCCUAAUACAUGCAAGUCGAGCGAACAGACGAGGAGCUUGCUCCUCUGAUGUUAGCGGCGGACGGGUGAGUAACACGUGGAUAACCUACCUAUAAGACUUGGAUAACUUCGGGAAACCGGAGCUAAUACCGGAUAACAUGUUGAACCGCAUGGUUCAACAGUGAAAGACGGUCUUGCUGUCACUUAUAGAUGGAUCCGCGCCGCAUUAGCUAGUUGGUAAGGUAACGGCUUACCAAGGCAACGAUGCGUAGCCGACCUGAAAGGGUGAUCGGCCACACUGGAACUGAGACACGGUCCAGACUCCUACGGGAGGCAGCAGUAGGGAAUCUUCCGCAAUGGGCGAAAGCCUGACGGAGCAACGCCGCGUGAGUGAAGAAGGUCUUCGGAUCGUAAAACUCUGUUAUUAGGGAAGAACAAAUGUGUAAGUAACUAUGCACGUCUUGACGGUACCUAAUCAGAAAGCCACGGCUAACUACGUG
This 497-nucleotide ribosomal RNA is filed under the name uncultured bacterium. RNAcentral describes it as "partial 16S ribosomal RNA". It matches the Rfam family "Bacterial small subunit ribosomal RNA", at positions 28 to 507 of the family's 1533-position model. The record is from RNAcentral.